Molecule: unclassified non-coding RNA, 236 nt
Filed under: plant metagenome
Description: partial contains small subunit ribosomal RNA, internal transcribed spacer 1, and 5.8S ribosomal RNA
Source: RNAcentral
UUUCCGUAGGUGAACCUGCGGAAGGAUCAUUACUGAGUGAGGGCCCCUCGGGGUCCAACCUCCCACCCGUGUUUAACGAACCUUGUUGCUUCGGCGGGCCCGCCUCACGGCCGCCGGGGGGCAUUUGCCCCCGGGCCCGCGCCCGCCGAAGCCACCUGUGAACGCUGUCUGAAGCAUGCAGUCUGAGACAAUUAUUAAAUUAAUUAAAACUUUCAACAACGGAUCUCUUGGUUCCG